GAUUUUUACCUCCUUUUUGCUAGAGAAUCAAGGUGGAGAAGAAAGGCGCCCAGUGUAGCCCCAAAAUCUGCGGCUACGUUGUAGUUUAAUCUGUACCCGCAUGGAGCCGCGGGGAGAUGGAGGGGGAGAGAUCUGGGAUUUUACUACAACCCCUAGGCCUGCUUGGAGCCGUCGUCUCGUAUCAAAUCCCUCAGAUCUCCCACUGCAACUCACACACAGAGACCAAGAAAAGCACAAUCCCGUCCAUCUGAUCUGCAUGCCCAUCCCCCCUCACUUCCCCUCCCCGGAAUCCCCCCUCACAAGCCGCAACCCUAGCUCCCCUCUAGUCUAUAAAUAGCGCGCCCGUAAAGGAGCUCUUCCUUAUUACAGGGAACGAGGGCGGCAGCUGUGGAUCGAAGAUCGAUCGAUGCCCAGCUCGCAGAGCAAGAGAGCCGUGGUCUAGUCUUGUGUGCUUAUCAAAGGGCGGCUUACUGGGAGUUCCUUGGCAUUCUGUCCACCUCCUUGCUGAUCAUGCAGAGAGCCUCUCAAAUCUGUUGUGUUUUUGGAGGUGGGCAUACUGCCAAUGGAGCUGUGUAGGCCUCCCUUUGUAAAGCCCACAUGACUCCCAUCAGAGCUUCCUCCCUAGAUUCGAUCAUCACUUGUGUCAGAAACGCCUUCAUUAAGCUUGCUUUGCUACCUUUUCUUGCGUGUUCAUUUGUUGGGCCUUUUGAUGCCCUCUUGUUUUCUUGGCUGGGGUUAUGGUUCAUCAUGGUCCAUGAUGUGCUUUUGGGGAAAGUUUUGGAGCGAGCUAUCUACAUAUGGUAGUCUGAUCUGCUCUGUUGCCGACCUAAUUUAGUCUGGUUCCUUGAAGCCGGCCGGCCAUGGUGUUGGUGUUGGGGAAGUGAAGAUGGCUUUCCCCCCUCAUGCCAUUCUUUCGGAUCCGUCGUUUUCGCCGCUAAUCGUUCCUUUUGCGUCCAAUUUCUUCUGAAGGCUAACACCGUAGUUCAUGGCUGCUUCCUUGCUGGUUUUGCAUGCAGGUCUGUUCUUCGAUCUUUGAUGGAGGUCAUCUCUGCAACAUCUGACUAUGGGGCCAGGCAAUGAGAAGCUCAUGGCUCUAAAACCGGCUCCGGUUGGAGUCCUACCAAACGGUCCAUUUUAGAGCAGUUCCAGGCAAGGAAACGUCCAUGGAGCUCCUUCUGGCUUCCACUUGGGAGGUGGAGCCAUGAAAUGUGGCUCCGCCCGGCUCCGUGGAGCUCCUCCAGGUCGCCUGCCACCUUUGCCCCAAGAGUGGCGUGAAUGGAGGCUGCCGACGGCGGGCCACUGUGGGACCCUAGGCGGAGGAUGACGGCGCUGUGGCAGGAGCAAAAGGAGGAGGGUGGAUGGAGCGAAGCGCUGCGGAGGCGGGCGCGGAGGCGACGGAGCACAUGGCGGCCAGCGAUGCUCGAGGUUGAGGCGGCGCAGAGUUGGGGCACGGUGGAGGCGGGGAGCGGAGCUGAGCGGUGGAGGUGGGCGCGGCGGGAAUGAAGGGAUAAGAAGGAAAGAGAAGGGAAGAGAAGAAACAAAUGAGGAAAUAGGAAGAAAAAAGAGAGAUAAGCCGCUCCACCAAAAGAUCCGGAGGCAGUGUUGUUUUUGGAGGAGUCGGAGCUCUGCCAAACAGAUCCUAAAUGUGUAUAGAAGAUUGGUAUUGACAGGAUCUCUGGCUUGCU
Long non-coding RNA from Panicum virgatum (switchgrass), 1685 nucleotides. RefSeq lists it as uncharacterized. Lineage: Eukaryota; Viridiplantae; Streptophyta; Magnoliopsida; Poales; Poaceae. The transcript has 3 exons. The record is from RefSeq and is a predicted model, not a curated record.